AUCCAGCCAAACUACCUCUGCUGGGGAAAAAAAGAAAAUAAGCGUAGGCAGAGAAAUACAUUUUUCUUCCAAAACCAGCUUUAAACCAGAAGACAGCAAAACUCCCUUAAUUUGGGAAGUCUCAAGACAACAGGUGGUGUGGUGAGAGCUGCAGUGUCAUCUCUUUCAGACAGGCUGCAGUCUCUUUAUCCUGCGAUAUUCCAGCCUCUCGAAAAAUGAAAAGAGAAAGCGGAAAACCUACAGAAGGAAGGGGGAAUGGGUUGAGGAUGACAUCAGGUUAAAAAGGGAGAGCAAGAUUGCCAAAAAGGAAUGGGCACCACUUGGAGCAGAUGCAUCUGUGCUGGAUAACUGGCCUUUGCCAGGAUGCUGGGCAUGAACCACUGAAAGAAUGAAUUCAAAAUGUGGCUUGACCCUGUGAUGCACUUGGCAGCUGAGCCUCCCUAUGUGGUCCCGGGCUCCAGAGGCACUCAAUGAGGGCAGCAAGGGUUGUUUUUUCUUUCUCUUUCCCUUCUGUUUAUUCAGCAAAGUUAAUUUAAAAGCUGAUUCCUGCUUACAUGGAGACAUCACCGGGACUGGUGUCAGGAGGAGGAGGAGGGGUAAGAGUGGUUGCAUGGUUUCCCCACCCAGAGACGAGCUUGGUCUCCAAACUGAGAUUUCUCUUCUGACGGUGGAGGCCAGAGUUUGGAAGAGCACGGGAGUCGCUGGGUUUGGUGGCUAGAUUCCUUGUGGGAUUUUCAAGGAGGUGGUACACCUCUUUUUCGUCUUUGUGAAAUGGGAAAAAUAUUCCUUCCCUGGCCUGUAGCACUGCGGUGAAGCAGUAUGUGCUAGAGACUCUGCAAGGUGCUAAAUAGUGUAGUAGCAGGGGGACCCAUCCACGUCUUGCUCUGGGCAAAGCAUUCUGAGAACAGCCUGUCAGUGCAGCUAAUGGGAUAUGUCCCAUGGUGUUUGUAGGUUCAUGAAAUCUUUGUUCCCUUGUAAUUGAUGUUGGCACUUAGCACCACAAGCUGUGCUCCUGGAAGCCAACCUCCCCGCAUAGCUGAUUUUAUGGUAUGGGAGGCUUGGUGCUAUAGCAUUCAUUCUUUCCAUCAUGCUGAACAAUGAAAUUAAGUCAAACUAAAAGCAUCUUUCUGUAGACUGAAAUUUUCCCAUAUUCUUUUGGGUCUAUUGCAUGGUGGCAGAGUGUAAGAAAACCUUAAAACAUGGAAAUGUAAUAAUAAACAAUAAUAAUAAUAUAUAUAUUAAAAAAAAAAGAACAGUUUUGCUGUUUUAUAUAAUAUUGAAGUGAUGGGGUUUAGUUUUGGUAGACAAUCUUCUACUUUGGUCUUAAAAUGAAAGGAAGUUAUGACAACUUCUGGACAGAAAGUGGGAGAAAACACCACAAAAUAGCCUUUUUCUCAGGAUCUAUUUGGAGCUGAUUGAUUGUGAUUUAAAUACAGAAUUCAUAAAAAUAAAAAUUAAAAGUAAAAAGUUUAACAAAAGUUGAAACUGGAGGAAAGGAUUUGAAAUUUCUGAUCAGGAAGUUACAUAUACAAGGUAAUUACAUUUUCUGUGAAAUAAAGAACAAAUGCAAUUUUAUGCAAUUUUCUCUGUUUCCAGCAUAUUCCCCUCACUAGCUGCAAUCCUGUCCAGCUGUGGGCAGAACCACAGAGCAUAGGAAAGGAGACUUUACCUUGGUAAUCUAGCAGACUACCAAGGAUCAGAAAGAUGCUUAAUUCCGCAUCUUUAUGUUAUGGAAGCAUCCUGAUUCUUGGUGUGUGGGUGUUUAUGUGUGUGGGUACACUUUUUAUUUUCAUAAUUUUUCCUUUCCCCUUUAU
Molecule: long non-coding RNA, 1814 nt
Organism: Anas platyrhynchos (mallard)
Lineage: Eukaryota; Metazoa; Chordata; Aves; Anseriformes; Anatidae
Source: RefSeq, a predicted model, not a curated record